This 371-nucleotide ribosomal RNA is filed under the name Microporus sp. BAB-3971. RNAcentral's name for it is "eukaryotic LSU rRNA". The stretch from base 1 to 100 matches the Rfam family "5.8S ribosomal RNA", at positions 56 to 154 of the family's 154-position model. The record is from RNAcentral. Lineage: Eukaryota; Fungi; Basidiomycota; Agaricomycetes; Polyporales; Polyporaceae.
CGAUACUUGGUGUGAAUUGCAGAAUUCAGUGAAUCAUCGAAUCUUUGAACGCACCUUGCGCUCCUUGGGUAUUCCGAGGAGCAUGCCUGUUUGAGUGUCAUGAAAUUCUCAACCUACAAGCCUUUUCGGAGGUCCUUGUACGGCUUGGACUUGGAGGGUCAUUGUCGGCAGUGAUGUCGGCUCCUCUUAAACGCAUUAGCUAGUUCUCGCGGAACGGCUUUCGGUGUGAUAAUUGUCUACGCCGUGGUCGUGCCGGGUACCUGGUCCAGCUUCUAAACCGUCACUCCUUGUGAGAGACACAUAUCUUGACAUCUGACCUCAAAUCAGGUAGGACUACCCGCUGAACUUAAGCAUAUCAAUAAGCGGAGGAA